UUCCUGGCGCAGGCCACAAAACCUGACCUGAAAUUUUCUAUCAAAAUGUCAACACUCCAUCACUGUAUAAACAAUCUAUAAACUGCCAUUUUACAAACACAGGAUACAGAAUAAUCAGUGUCCUCGACUUAUGCUCCACCCUCCGAGGGGAAGUUUUGCUUCCCCCAUGAAUCUCUGGCUGCCUGAGGGUGACGGCAGAGAUCCCCUCCGGCGUUUUCCUUGGAGGAAGUGAACAGAGGUGGACAUACCCUAAAGGCGAUGGACCAACUCGCCCAUCAGCAAGCUCUAUUCUUUCCCUUCGAAAAGUCCAGCAGCAAAGAAAAAGAUGCACGUUUCUCUCUGAAUCACAUUUGUGCACUCAAGAACUCCUACAGGAUGUGCUCCAGACCACACAAAUGGGAAUGAAGAGAAGCACCAACCACAGAGCAGUGGGGUCCCCAACGCCACACGCCCCGACCCCAGAACAUGACCACCCGUCAGAGCCGGAUUCCGCAGGGCAGCCUCCAGCAAGGCUGCAGAGGCCAAGAGGAGCCAAGAAAUUCUGAGACCAAUGAAAAGUCGCGUCCGGAGAGCAGG
This 576-nucleotide long non-coding RNA is filed under the name Homo sapiens (human). RNAcentral's name for it is "HSALNT0067952". Lineage: Eukaryota; Metazoa; Chordata; Mammalia; Primates; Hominidae. The record is from RNAcentral.